Molecule: ribosomal RNA, 239 nt
Filed under: uncultured bacterium
Lineage: Bacteria
Description: partial 16S ribosomal RNA
Rfam family: Bacterial small subunit ribosomal RNA
Source: RNAcentral
GAUCAUGGCUCAGGAUGAACGCUGGCGGCGUGCUUAACACAUGCAAGUCGAACGAAGCACUUUAAUCGAUUUCUUCGGAUUGAAAUUUUAGUGACUGAGUGGCGGACGGGUGAGUAACGCGUGGGUAACCUGCCUCAUACAGGGGGAUAACAGUUAGAAAUGACUGCUAAUACCGCAUAAGCGCACAGUACCACAUGGUACGGUGUGAAAAACUCCGGUGGUAUGAGAUGGACCCGCGU